GGGGAAUAUUGGACAAUGGGGGCAACCCUGAUCCAGCCAUGCCGCGUGAGUGAUGAAGGCCUUCGGGUUGUAAAGCUCUUUUGGCGGGGACGAUGAUGACGGUACCCGCAGAAUAAGCCCCGGCUAACUUCGUGCCAGCAGCCGCGGUAAGACGAAGGGGGCUAGCGUUGUUCGGAAUUACUGGGCGUAAAGGGCUCGUAGGCGGCCAACUAAGUCCGACGUGAAAUCCCAAGGCUUAACCUUGGAACUGCGUCGGAUACUGGAUGGCUUGAAUUCGGGAGAGGGAUGCAGAAUUCCAGGUGUAGCGGUGAAAUGCGUAGAUAUCUGGAGGAAUACCGGUGGCGAAGGCGGCAUCCUGGACCGACAUUGACGCUGAUGAGCGAAAGCUAGGGGAGCAAAC
This 400-nucleotide ribosomal RNA is filed under the name uncultured bacterium. RNAcentral's name for it is "bacterial SSU rRNA". It matches the Rfam family "Bacterial small subunit ribosomal RNA", at positions 356 to 773 of the family's 1533-position model. The record is from RNAcentral.